RNAcentral lists this ribosomal RNA (494 nucleotides) under uncultured bacterium. Its description in RNAcentral is "partial 16S ribosomal RNA". It matches the Rfam family "Bacterial small subunit ribosomal RNA", at positions 30 to 507 of the family's 1533-position model. The record is from RNAcentral.
AUUGAACGCUGGCGGCAUGCUUUACACAUGCAAGUCGAACGGCAGCGGGGAGGAGCUUGCUUCUCUGCCGGCGAGUGGCGAACGGGUGAGUAAUACAUCGGAACGUGUCGAGAAGAGGGGGAUAACCACCCGAAAGGGUGGCUAAUACCGCAUAAAUUCUGAGGAAGAAAGCUGGGGACCUAGGAAUAGGCCUAGCGCUUUUUGAGCGGCCGAUGUCGGAUUAGCUAGUUGGUGAGGUAAAGGCUCACCAAGGCGAAGAUCUGUAGCGGGUCUGAGAGGAGGAUCCGCCACACUGGAACUGAGACACGGCCCAGACUCCUACGCGAUUAAGCAGUGUGGAAGUUUGGACAAUGGUGGCAACCCUGAUCCAGCCAUGCCGCGUGUAUGAAGAAGGCCUUAGGGUUGUAAAGUACUUUUGUUAGGGAAGAAAAGUCAGCUGUGAAUAACGGCGGAUACUGACGGUACCUAAAGAAUAAGCACCGGCUAACUACGUG